RNAcentral lists this transfer RNA (84 nucleotides) under Methanobacteriota archaeon. RNAcentral describes it as "Euryarchaeota archaeon tRNA-Met". Lineage: Archaea; Methanobacteriati; Methanobacteriota. The record is from RNAcentral.
AGCGGGGUGGGGUAGCCAGGAUAUCCCGUCGGGCUCAUAACCCGGAGAUCGAUGGUUCAAAAGGACCGGCAGGACCCGCCUCCA